CUCCCUUUCCCCUUUCUUCAAUCCCUAAUCUCCUACAUCGAUCAUGAAACCUUUCCUCUUCCUUUUCUCUGUUCCGUUUCGCGAUCUGAUCGUCGACCAUUCAAUACAACCUCCACUUCGUUUCACCCUUUACUCUCAUUUAUGGAUUUUCUUAUGUUUUGUCCUUCUGAUUCUACAAUUCUCUCUACCACACUGCAAUGAGUUCCAACGGAAAAUCCAUGGUAUCUGGAUCUGCUCAUGGUUGACAUUAACUUCGCUGAGAAUUGAUGAUGAUGCAACUUAAUUGACGCAACAGCCUUUUCUACUAAACACAUACAGGUUUGUGUCUUUCACUGUGAGUGUGUUCGACUCUCAGGCUGUAUCAUUCAAAAGUAACUUGAAGGCUACAAGGUUGAUCCACGUGUGGCUGUGGCAAAAUUCAUUAAUCCGGAGCUUAUAGGAGGUCGUAUGUUCCUCAAUGCCACGUCUGGAUCUCAUUUCUAUUUUGACAAGGAGACUGAAGCAGGCGAGAGCUACUUUUACGAGUAUGUACUAAUGUUCAUAUUUUAUUCCAUCAUUAUAUUUCAGGGGUUACUCUCAUCAAUGCAGGUUGGUCACAAAUGACGACACUGGAAAUACAUCAGCAGCUUCAUUGUUGAGAGGCUAUGCUAAGGUUGAACGACUGACAAUAGCUGAGAUGAACCAGUUUAUCAUCAUAGUCGAGCCUGAGAUAAUAGAAUUUACCUGCAGUAGGAAAGUCACAUCUGUCAAGACAGAAAAUGGAUGAUGCAACAUAUCUUUCUUAAAGUGUUCAAGGAAAUUACAGAGGCGUGCCUCAUCUUUUGCAUGCAUGUUCUGCAAUCGGACUAUUGCCGUUGGUGUUCUCAGGUAACGUGUCGAGAUGACUGUUGCCAAUGACACUGGCGAAGCAGCUUUUGUAAGUUUCGAUGGUGAAAUAACAAAGCUUACCAAUAUCCUGACUGCUCAUGCUGUUCAUCUUCUGGUAUGUCUCUUUCUAACCACACAACAUCAUUAACCAUGUUACGAAAAUUAUGGUCUAAUAGGCAGGAGAAGGAGAGAACCCAGAAGAUAUCUAGCUCACACAUUUUAUUGCUAACCUUGCUGGCAAUACUUUCACUUCCACAUUUCAGUGCAAAUCAUCAAACCUUCACCGUCUCACGCAUCCUGGAUGAGCGUGAACGUGCGCCAGUUCCUGAUUGUGUUACUGAUGAGGGUAGCAACGAUGGACCUGAAGAUGACAUGCAUGGUUUCAGCUCUCUCCCAACCAAGGUGAUCGUUGGUAAUAAUGAAAAGGAGAACUCACCAGGUUCAGAAACGACUUCGAGUGGCGUCAUCAACACAUAAAACCUCGGGACCCAGCGUCUACCAAGCUGACUAAGAAGCCAUGAGCUGCUUAGGUGCAAAGUUUGCAGUAUCUUGACAUAUUAGUUGCUUUUAUAAUAAUGCUUACACAUAAUUGUGGUUUAAAUUCAAACUAUCCAACUCUGUUAUUCAGACAGUUUUAUGAAUUAUGUUCAAGUUCAAAGUUAUUUAUGUUUCUUUCUCAAA
Molecule: long non-coding RNA, 1548 nt
Organism: Raphanus sativus (radish)
Lineage: Eukaryota; Viridiplantae; Streptophyta; Magnoliopsida; Brassicales; Brassicaceae
Exons: 6
Source: RefSeq, a predicted model, not a curated record